GGGUUGUGAGGUUAAGCGACUAAGCGUACACGGUGGAUGCCCUGGCAGUCAGAGGCGAUGAAGGACGUGCUAAUCUGCGAUAAGCGUCGGUGAGGUGAUAUGAACCGUUAUAACCGGCGAUUUCCGAAUGGGGAAACCCAGUGUGUUUCGACACACUAUCAUUAACUGAAUCCAUAGGUUAAUGAGGCGAACCGGGGGAACUGAAACAUCUAAGUACCCCGAGGAAAAGAAAUCAACCGAGAUUCCCCCAGUAGCGGCGAGCGAACGGGGAGGAGCCCAGAGCCUGAAUCAGUGUGUGUGUUAGUGGAAGCGUCUGGAAAGGCGCGCGAUACAGGGUGACAGCCCCGUACACAAAAAUGCACAUAUUGUGAGCUCGAUGAGUAGGGCGGGACACGUGGUAUCCUGUCUGAAUAUGGGGGGACCAUCCUCCAAGGCUAAAUACUCCUGACUGACCGAUAGUGAACCAGUACCGUGAGGGAAAGGCGAAAAGAACCCCGGCGAGGGGAGUGAAAAAGAACCUGAAACCGUGUACGUACAAGCAGUGGGAGCCUCUUAAUGGGGUGACUGCGUACCUUUUGUAUAAUGGGUCAGCGACUUAUAUUCUGUAGCAAGGUUAACCGAAUAGGGGAGCCGAAGGGAAACCGAGUCUUAACUGGGCGUUAAGUUGCAGGGUAUAGACCCGAAACCCGGUGAUCUAGCCAUGGGCAGGUUGAAGGUUGGGUAACACUAACUGGAGGACCGAACCGACUAAUGUUGAAAAAUUAGCGGAUGACUUGUGGCUGGGGGUGAAAGGCCAAUCAAACCGGGAGAUAGCUGGUUCUCCCCGAAAGCUAUUUAGGUAGCGCCUCGUGAAUUCAUCUCCGGGGGUAGAGCACUGUUUCGGCAAGGGGGUCAUCCCGACUUACCAACCCGAUGCAAACUGCGAAUACCGGAGAAUGUUAUCACGGGAGACACACGGCGGGUGCUAACGUCCGUCGUGAAGAGGGAAACAACCCAGACCGCCAGCUAAGGUCCCAAAGUCAUGGUUAAGUGGGAAACGAUGUGGAAGGCCCAGACAGCCAGGAUGUUGGCUUAGAAGCAGCCAUCAUUUAAAGAAAGCGUAAUAGCUCACUGGUCGAGUCGGCCUGCGCGGAAGAUGUAACGGGGCUAAACCAUGCACCGAAGCUGCGGCAGCGACACUAUGUGUUGUUGGGUAGGGGAGCGUUCUGUAAGCCUGUGAAGGUGGCCUGUGAGGGUUGCUGGAGGUAUCAGAAGUGCGAAUGCUGACAUAAGUAACGAUAAAGCGGGUGAAAAGCCCGCUCGCCGGAAGACCAAGGGUUCCUGUCCAACGUUAAUCGGGGCAGGGUGAGUCGACCCCUAAGGCGAGGCCGAAAGGCGUAGUCGAUGGGAAACAGGUUAAUAUUCCUGUACUUGGUGUUACUGCGAAGGGGGACGGAGAAGGCUAUGUUGGCCGGGCGACGGUUGUCCCGGUUUAAGCGUGUAGGCUGGUUUUCCAGGCAAAUCCGGAAAAUCAAGGCUGAGGCGUGAUGACGAGGCACUACGGUGCUGAAGCGACAAAUGCCCUGCUUCCAGGAAAAGCCUCUAAGCAUCAGGUAACAUCAAAUCGUACCCCAAACCGACACAGGUGGUCAGGUAGAGAAUACCAAGGCGCUUGAGAGAACUCGGGUGAAGGAACUAGGCAAAAUGGUGCCGUAACUUCGGGAGAAGGCACGCUGAUAUGUAGGUGAAGCGACUUGCUCGUGGAGCUGAAAUCAGUCGAAGAUACCAGCUGGCUGCAACUGUUUAUUAAAAACACAGCACUGUGCAAACACGAAAGUGGACGUAUACGGUGUGACGCCUGCCCGGUGCCGGAAGGUUAAUUGAUGGGGUUAGCGGUAACGCGAAGCUCUUGAUCGAAGCCCCGGUAAACGGCGGCCGUAACUAUAACGGUCCUAAGGUAGCGAAAUUCCUUGUCGGGUAAGUUCCGACCUGCACGAAUGGCGUAAUGAUGGCCAGGCUGUCUCCACCCGAGACUCAGUGAAAUUGAACUCGCUGUGAAGAUGCAGUGUACCCGCGGCAAGACGGAAAGACCCCGUGAACCUUUACUAUAGCUUGACACUGAACAUUGAGCCUUGAUGUGUAGGAUAGGUGGGAGGCUUUGAAGUGUGGACGCCAGUCUGCAUGGAGCCGACCUUGAAAUACCACCCUUUAAUGUUUGAUGUUCUAACGUGGGCCCCUUACCGGGGUUGCGGACAGUGUCUGGUGGGUAGUUUGACUGGGGCGGUCUCCUCCUAAAGAGUAACGGAGGAGCACGAAGGUUGGCUAAUCCUGGUCGGACAUCAGGAGGUUAGUGCAAUGGCAUAAGCCAGCUUGACUGCGAGCGUGACGGCGCGAGCAGGUGCGAAAGCAGGUCAUAGUGAUCCGGUGGUUCUGAAUGGAAGGGCCAUCGCUCAACGGAUAAAAGGUACUCCGGGGAUAACAGGCUGAUACCGCCCAAGAGUUCAUAUCGACGGCGGUGUUUGGCACCUCGAUGUCGGCUCAUCACAUCCUGGGGCUGAAGUAGGUCCCAAGGGUAUGGCUGUUCGCCAUUUAAAGUGGUACGCGAGCUGGGUUUAGAACGUCGUGAGACAGUUCGGUCCCUAUCUGCCGUGGGCGCUGGAGAACUGAGGGGGGCUGCUCCUAGUACGAGAGGACCGGAGUGGACGCAUCACUGGUGUUCGGGUUGUCAUGCCAAUGGCACUGCCCGGUAGCUAAAUGCGGAAGAGAUAAGUGCUGAAAGCAUCUAAGCACGAAACUUGCCCCGAGAUGAGUUCUCCCUGACUCCUUGAGAGUCCUGAAGGAACGUUGAAGACGACGACGUUGAUAGGCCGGGUGUGUAAGCGCAGCGAUGCGUUGAGCUAACCGGUACUAAUGAACCGUGAGGCUUAACCUUACAACGCCGAAG
This 2923-nucleotide ribosomal RNA is filed under the name Escherichia coli. RNAcentral describes it as "bacterial LSU rRNA". It matches the Rfam family "Bacterial large subunit ribosomal RNA". Lineage: Bacteria; Pseudomonadati; Pseudomonadota; Gammaproteobacteria; Enterobacterales; Enterobacteriaceae. The record is from RNAcentral.